RNAcentral lists this microRNA (23 nucleotides) under human gammaherpesvirus 4 (Epstein-Barr virus). RNAcentral describes it as "Human gammaherpesvirus 4 (Epstein-Barr virus) miR-BART13-3p". The record is from RNAcentral. Lineage: Duplodnaviria; Heunggongvirae; Peploviricota; Herviviricetes; Herpesvirales; Orthoherpesviridae.
GUAACUUGCCAGGGACGGCUGAC